CGGAUUGCAGGCUGCAACCCGCCUGCAUGAAGUUGGAAUCGCUAGUAAUCGCGGAUCAGCAUGCCGCGGUGAAUACGUUCCCGGGCCUUGUACACACCGCCCGUCACACCAUGAGAGUCGGGAACACCCGAAGUCCGUAGUCUGACCGCAAGGGGACGCGGCCGAAGGUGGGUUCGAUAAUUGGGGUGAAGUCGUAACAAGGUAUC
This 206-nucleotide ribosomal RNA is filed under the name uncultured bacterium. RNAcentral describes it as "partial 16S ribosomal RNA". It matches the Rfam family "Bacterial small subunit ribosomal RNA", at positions 1294 to 1500 of the family's 1533-position model. The record is from RNAcentral.